GACGAACGCUGGCGGCGCGCCUAACACAUGCAAGUCGAACGGAGUCAAGAGGAGCUUGCUUUUCUUGACUUAGUGGCGAACGGGUGAGUAACGCGUGAGUAACCUGCCCUGGAGUGGGGGACAACAGUUGGAAACGACUGCUAAUACCGCAUAAGCCCACGGAUCCGCAUGGACCUGCGGGAAAAGGAUUUAUUCGCUUCAGGAUGGACUCGCGUCCAAUUAGCUAGUUGGUGAGGUAACGGCCCACCAAGGCGACGAUUGGUAGCCGGACUGAGAGGUUGAACGGACACAUUGGGACUGAGACACGGCCCAGACUCCUACGGGAGGCAGCAGUGGGGGAUAUUGCACAAUGGGGGAAACCCUGAUGCAGCGACGCCGCGUGGAGGAAGAAGGUUUUCGGAUUGUAAACUCCUGUCGUUAGGGACGAUAAUGACGGUACCUAACAAGAAAGCACCGGCUAACUACGUG
This 468-nucleotide ribosomal RNA is filed under the name uncultured bacterium. Its description in RNAcentral is "partial 16S ribosomal RNA". It matches the Rfam family "Bacterial small subunit ribosomal RNA", at positions 28 to 507 of the family's 1533-position model. The record is from RNAcentral.